GUGCCAGCCUCCUCGGUCCCCCGUAGGUCCCGAGCGUUGUUCGGAUUCACUGGGUGUAAAGGGCGCGUAGGUGGUUGUCUGUGUCUCACGUGAAAACUCAGGGCUCAACUCUGAGAUUGCGUGGGAAACUAGGCAGCUAGAGGACGGUAGAGGGGAGUGGAAUUCCCGGUGUAGCGGUAAAAUGCGUAGAUACCGGGAGGAACACCGGUGGCGAAGGCGGCUCUCUGGGCCGAUCCUGACGCUGAGGCGCGAAAGCUAGGGUAGCGAACCGGAUUAGAUACCCGGGUAGUCCUAGCCGUAAACGAUGGGUGCUAGGUGUUGGGGGGUAAAGACCCUUCAGUGCCGCAGCUAACGCGAUAAGCAUCCCACCUGGGGAGUACGGCCGCAAGGUUGAAACUCAAAGGAAUUGGCGG
Molecule: ribosomal RNA, 413 nt
Filed under: uncultured bacterium
Lineage: Bacteria
Description: bacterial SSU rRNA
Rfam family: Bacterial small subunit ribosomal RNA
Source: RNAcentral